GGGCGUAAGAGCUCGUAGGCGGUUUGUCGCGUCUGCUGUGAAAACCCGAGGCUCAACCUCGGGCCUGCAGUGGGUACGGGCAGACUAGAGUGCGGUAGGGGAGAUUGGAAUUCCUGGUGUAGCGGUGGAAUGCGCAGAUAUCAGGAGGAACACCAAUGGCGAAGGCAGAUCUCUGGGCCGUAACUGACGCUGAGGAGCGAAAGCAUGGGGAGCGAACAGGAUUAGAUACCCUGGUAGUCCAUGCCGUAAACGUUGGGAACUAGAUGUGGGGACCAUUCCACGGUCUCCGUGUCGCAGCUAACGCAUUAAGUUCCCCGCCUGGGGAGUACGGCCGCAAGGCUAAAACUCAAAGGAAUUGACGGGGGCCCGCACAAGCGGCGGAGCAUGCGGAUUAAUUCGAUGCAACGCGAAGAACCUUACCAAGGCUUGACAUAUAGAGGAAACGGCUGGAAACAGUCGCCCCGCAAGGUCUCUAUACAGGUGGUGCAUGGUUGUCGUCAGCUCGUGUCGUGAGAUGUUGGGUUAAGUCCCGCAACGAGCGCAACCCUCGUCCUAUGUUGCCAGCACGUAAUGGUGGGAACUCAUGGGAUACUGCCGGGGUCAACUCGGAGGAAGGUGGGGAUGACGUCAAAUCAUCAUGCCCCUUAUGUCUUGGGCUUCACGCAUGCUACAAUGGCCGGUACAAAGGGCUGCAAUACCGCAAGGUGGAGCGAAUCCCAAAAAGCCGGUCUCAGUUCGGAUUGAGGUCUGCAACUCGACCUCAUGAAGUCGGAGUCGCUAGUAAUCGCAGAUCAGCAACGCUGCGGUGAAUACGUUCCCGGGCCUUGUACACACCGCCCGUCAAGUCAUGAAAGUCGGUAACACCCGAAGCCAGUGGCCAAACCCGCAAGGGAUGGAGCUGUCGAAGGUGGGAUCGGUGAUUAGGACUAAUC
Molecule: ribosomal RNA, 932 nt
Filed under: Cryobacterium arcticum
Lineage: Bacteria; Bacillati; Actinomycetota; Actinomycetes; Micrococcales; Microbacteriaceae
Description: bacterial SSU rRNA
Rfam family: Bacterial small subunit ribosomal RNA
Source: RNAcentral